AAAAAAAGAUUAGAUCACGCCAUGCUGCAAAAUUCGAGGGACCAAUCGCACAAAUAGCUCAUUCACCGCAAACAUGCGGAUUCUGUGGACUGCUAGGUCGGGUUUUCGGGUCUUAUUCGAAAUGACGUCGUUUUGGCUAUCAUCACUUAAGCCUAAAACGGCGCCGUAUAGAUACCCAUAUAAAUAGUUAAAAUAAAACAAAAAAAAAUCAGCCCCC
This 217-nucleotide long non-coding RNA is filed under the name Gossypium raimondii (Peruvian cotton). RNAcentral's name for it is "long non-coding RNA (GRAI_LNC005611)". Lineage: Eukaryota; Viridiplantae; Streptophyta; Magnoliopsida; Malvales; Malvaceae. The record is from RNAcentral.